This is a long non-coding RNA of Saccostrea cuccullata (small rock oyster), 348 nucleotides long. RefSeq lists it as uncharacterized. The record is from RefSeq and is a predicted model, not a curated record. The transcript is spliced from 3 exons. NCBI's taxonomy places the organism in Eukaryota, Metazoa, Mollusca, Bivalvia, Ostreida, Ostreidae.
UUAGCCGAGCCGAGGACAGUUGGAUCAUCACAAUUCCUUAGCAGCCAUAGUGUGUCUUUAGGUAAAUCGUUUUGGAUCGGGGUAUCUGAUAUACUGGAGGAACACCGGUGGAUCUACUCCUCAGAUAUGGGUGUCAUAACAGUGAACAUUUUCUUUCCUGGCGAACCAGAUGAAUAUACUUCAAAAAAGUGUGUUGUAAUAUAUAAUGGGCACCAUGAAAAGUGGGCAGAUCACUCAUGCAGUACUAAUAAUUAUUUCAUUUGUGAAGAAGAUAAUGGUUUAAAAAAUGGAGAAGUUAUUGGCUGAGAAUCAACAUUUUCAGUUCAAAAGUUCUAGAAAAUUAUACAG